Molecule: ribosomal RNA, 433 nt
Filed under: uncultured bacterium
Lineage: Bacteria
Description: partial 16S ribosomal RNA
Rfam family: Bacterial small subunit ribosomal RNA
Source: RNAcentral
AACGAACGCUGGCGGCAUGCCUAACACAUGCAUGUCGAACGAGACCUUCGGGUCUAGUGGCGCACGGGUGCGUAACGCGUGGGAACCUGCCCUUAGGUUCGGAAUAACUCCCCGAAAGGGGUGCUAAUACCGGAUAAUGUCUUCGGACCAAAGAUUUAUCGCCUUUGGAUGGGCCCGCGUUGGAUUAGCUAGUUGGUAGGGUAAAAGCCUACCAAGGCGACGAUCCAUAGCUGGUCUGAGAGGAUGAUCAGCCACACUGGGACUGAGACACGGGCCAGACUCCUACGGGAGGCAGCAGUGGGGAAUAUUGGACAAUGGGCGAAAGCCUGAUCCAGCAAUGCCGCGUGAGUGAUGAAGGCCUUAGGGUUGUAAAGCUCUUUUACCCGGGAUGAUAAUGACAGUACCGGGAGAAUAAGCUCCGGCUAACUCCGUG